CCGAGUUAUACAACUCAUCAACCCUGUGAACAUACCUAUAACGUUGCCUCGGCGGGAACAGACGGCCCCGUAACACGGGCCGCCCCCGCCAGAGGACCCCCUAACUCUGUUUCUAUAAUGUUUCUUCUGAGUAACAAGCAAAUAAAUUA
Molecule: unclassified non-coding RNA, 149 nt
Filed under: soil metagenome
Description: partial internal transcribed spacer 1
Source: RNAcentral